AAUGAACGCUGGCGGCGUGCUUAACACAUGCAAGUUGAGCGGUAAGGCACCUUCGGGUGUACACGAGCAGCGAACGGGAGCGUAACGCGUGGGUAACCUACCCAGAAGUGGGGGAUAGCCCCGGGAAACCGGGGGUAAUACCGCAUGUGCCUGGGUCGACACAAGUCGAUUCAUGAAAAGGCGGGGAUCUUCGGACCUGUCGCUUCUGGAUGGGCCCGCGUCCGAUUAGCUAGUUGGUGAGGUAACGGCUCACCAAGGCUUCGAUCGGUAGCCGGCCUGAGAGGGUGAACGGCCUCAUUGGGACUGAGACACGGCCCAGACUCCUACGGGAGGCAGCAGUGGGGAAUUUUGGGCAAUGGGCGCAAGCCUGACCCAGCGACGCCGCGUGGAGGAUGAAGGCCUUCGGGUUGUAAACUCCUGUCAGGUGGGAAGAAAUGCCCGUCGGUUAAUACCCGGCGGGAACUGACGGUACCACCAAAGGAAGCCCCGGCUAACUCCGUGCCAGCAGCCGCGGUAAUACGGAGGGGGCAAGCGUUAUUCGGAUUUACUGGGCGUAAAGCGCACGUAGGCGGCUAUGUAAGUCGCAGGUGAAAGCCCUCGGCUCAACCGAGGAACUGCCUGCGAAACUGCGUAGCUUGAGUCCGGGAGGGGGGAGCGGAAUUCCCAGUGUAGCGGUGAAAU
Molecule: ribosomal RNA, 681 nt
Filed under: uncultured bacterium
Lineage: Bacteria
Description: bacterial SSU rRNA
Rfam family: Bacterial small subunit ribosomal RNA
Source: RNAcentral